RNAcentral lists this non-coding RNA (351 nucleotides) under Mycolicibacterium rhodesiae NBB3. The record is from Rfam by way of RNAcentral. Lineage: Bacteria; Bacillati; Actinomycetota; Actinomycetes; Mycobacteriales; Mycobacteriaceae.
AAGUGGUGUAGCACAAUCGAAUACGGAUACAGGCGUUACCGUGCUAUCCUCUAGAAGGAUGUCUGUCGACAUUCCAAUUCCAAUGAGAGAAGUAGAAAAGUAUGACGCAGGGAACUGUGAAGUGGUUCAACAGCGACAAGGGCUUCGGUUUUAUCGCGCCGGAUGGCGGAGCGGAUGACGUGUUCGUCCACUUCAGCGAGAUCCAAGGCAGCGGGUACAAGUCGCUCGAGGAGAACCAGCGAGUCGAAUUCACCGUCGAGCAGGGGGCCAAGGGCCCGCAGGCAGUCGGUGUGACCGCCGUAUAACGAGAUCUUCGUGUGUGGGCUGGUGGGAAUCUCCACCAGCCCACAU